GACGAACGCUGGCGGCGUGCUUAACACAUGCAAGUCGAACGGAAAGGCCUCUUUCGGGGGGUACUCGAGUGGCGAACGGGUGAGUAACACGUGAGUAACCUGCCCUUGACUUUGGGAUAACUUCAGGAAACUGGGGCUAAUACCGGAUAGGAGCUCCUGCUGCAUGGUGGGGGUUGGAAAGUUUCGGCGGUUGGGGAUGGACUCGCGGCUUAUCAGCUUGUUGGUGGGGUAGUGGCUUACCAAGGCUUUGACGGGUAGCCGGCCUGAGAGGGUGAUCGGCCACAUUGGGACUGAGAUACGGCCCAGACUCCUACGGGAGGCAGCAGUGGGGAAUAUUGCACAAUGGGUGGAAGCCUGAUGCAGCAACGCCGUGUGCGGGAUGACGACCUUCGGGUUGUAAACCGCUUUCGCUCAUGACGAAGCUUUGUGUGACGGUAGUGGGUAAAGAAGCACCGGCUAACUACGUG
Molecule: ribosomal RNA, 467 nt
Filed under: uncultured bacterium
Lineage: Bacteria
Description: partial 16S ribosomal RNA
Rfam family: Bacterial small subunit ribosomal RNA
Source: RNAcentral